UGGGCUCCAGUACCUCUUGGUGCAAUUCCAAGUAAAAGCU
Molecule: transfer RNA, 40 nt
Filed under: Duttaphrynus melanostictus (Asian common toad)
Lineage: Eukaryota; Metazoa; Chordata; Amphibia; Anura; Bufonidae
Description: partial tRNA-Leu
Source: RNAcentral